Small nucleolar RNA from Pongo abelii (Sumatran orangutan), 91 nucleotides. Its record names the gene U3. It matches the Rfam family "Small nucleolar RNA U3". Rfam says of the family: Small nucleolar RNAs (snoRNAs) are involved in the processing and modification of rRNA in the nucleolus. There are two main classes of snoRNAs: the box C/D class, and the box H/ACA class. The record is from Ensembl. NCBI's taxonomy places the organism in Eukaryota, Metazoa, Chordata, Mammalia, Primates, Hominidae.
AAGACUAUACUUUCAGGGAUCAUUUCUAUAGUUCGUUACUAGAGAAGUUUCUCUGAACGUGUAGAACACCGGGGGGAUUAGCUCAAAUGGU